AGGACGAACGCUGGCGGCGCGCUUAACACAUGCAAGUCGAGCGAGGACCAGUCCUUCGGGACUGGGGACAGCGGCGAACGGGUGAGUAACACGUGGGUAAUCUGCCCUCGAUUCUGGGAUAGCCCGGGGAAACCGGAUUAAUACCGGAUAGCCUCUCUGGCUUUCGAGCCGGCGAGAAAAGGUAGCUUCGGCCUCCGAUCGAGGAUGAGCCCGCGGCGGAUUAGCUUGUGGUGGGUAAUGGCCUACCAAGGCGACGAUCCGUAGCUGGUCUGAGAGGACGAUCAGCCACACUGGGACUGAGACACGGCCCAGACUCCUACGGGAGCAGCAGUGGGGAAUCGUUGCGCAAUGGGCGAAAGCCUGACGCAGCGACGCGCGUGGGGAAGAAGGCUCGGUUGUAACUCUU
Molecule: ribosomal RNA, 406 nt
Filed under: uncultured soil bacterium
Lineage: Bacteria
Description: bacterial SSU rRNA
Rfam family: Bacterial small subunit ribosomal RNA
Source: RNAcentral